This 69-nucleotide transfer RNA is filed under the name Bos taurus (domestic cattle). It matches the Rfam family "tRNA". Rfam says of the family: Transfer RNA (tRNA) molecules are approximately 80 nucleotides in length. RNAcentral also lists the same sequence under 5 other names. Lineage: Eukaryota; Metazoa; Chordata; Mammalia; Artiodactyla; Bovidae. The record is from Rfam by way of RNAcentral.
CCUGGUGGCUCAGAGGGUAAAGCAUCUGCCUGCAAUGUAGGAGACCUGGGUUCGAUCCCUGGGUCAGGA